AUUUUUUAUUUUACAUGAACAGACUCUAUCAUUUAAGGCCCAAAAUGUAGUCAUAACUAACUAAAAAUAAUUUAACUAACUAAAAAUAAUUUAUUGUUUUGAAAAUUAAACUUAAAAUUAAACUUAACGUUUCCCCUUUUUUAUAUAAAUUUCUUUAUCAAUUUUGUUCCAUUGUGAUGUAGAACAUGUUAGCAUGUUAGCUAGCUAACCACUAACGUUAGAUAGCUCUCCGCUAACCCUAGUUUUCUCCCCGGUAAUGUAACAAACUCGCUACUAACGUUAGUAUGUUAGCUAGCUUGCCGCUAAUGUUAACACUGCUAACCUUAAUUCUUUCCCGUUAACGUUAGUUAGCUCUCCGCUAAUGUUAACUCCGCUAACAUCUCUCCCCAGUAACGUUAGCUAGCUCUCCGUUAACCUUAGAUUGUUCGUUUGUGCCAUCCGGGGUUUCAGGCAGGUGGAGAUCUAACAGCUGUAACAAGGACACAAGCUGUAGAUGCUGGCCAUGUCCUGUGUUCCUGAAACAUGAGGACAGUGGAAAGAUUCUCAGCUACUCUUACUCAUUCCCUCUGGCUGCUAUUUCACUGCAGGGCUGAACGGUUCUGAGCAAAGAGGGUAAGUGAUGGCUUUUUAACAUGGACAUGGUUUAGCACAGAACACUUACUUACUUACCACGGGUUGGUCCUGCUUUUCUCAGUAAGGUUAUUUAACUGUACUUGAGGCCACAGGACCAUUCAAUCGAAAGACUUAAAGACUGAGGGAUCUAAAUAUUGGCUACCCAGGCCAUGAAAAUGCCACAGUUAUCAUGCUAAUGCCACCUUAGUGAUGUGGGACAAACCUGGUCAAUGUUGUACUAACAUGCCUGGAAAACAAGUGCACAGUUAG
RNAcentral lists this long non-coding RNA (882 nucleotides) under Astyanax mexicanus (Mexican tetra). Its description in RNAcentral is "lncRNA (ENSAMXG00005012761.1)". Lineage: Eukaryota; Metazoa; Chordata; Actinopteri; Characiformes; Acestrorhamphidae. The record is from RNAcentral.